RNAcentral lists this ribosomal RNA (852 nucleotides) under uncultured bacterium. Its description in RNAcentral is "bacterial SSU rRNA". It matches the Rfam family "Bacterial small subunit ribosomal RNA", at positions 8 to 837 of the family's 1533-position model. The record is from RNAcentral.
AGAGUUUGAUCCUGGCUCAGAAUCAACGCUGGCGGCGUGCCUCAGACAUGCAAGUCGAACGCGAAAGUCCCCUUCGGGGGACAAGUAGAGUGGCGCACGGGUGAGUAACACGUAGGUAAUCUACCUUCGGAUGGGGAAUAACAAUCGGAAACGGUUGCUAAUACCGCAUAAUGCAGCGGCACCUAAUGGUGACAGUUGUUAAAGCGGGGGAUCGAAAGACCUCGCGUCUGAAGAGGAGCCUGCGGCGGAUUAGCUAGUUGGUAAGGUAAUGGCUUACCAAGGCUACGAUCCGUAACCGGCCUGAGAGGGCGGUCGGUCACACUGACACUGACAUACGGGUCAGACUCCUACGGGAGGCAGCAGUCGGGAAUUUUGGGCAAUGGGCGAAAGCCUGACCCAGCAACGCCGCGUGAAGGAUGAAAUCCCUCGGGAUGUAAACUUCGCAAGAACGGGAAGAAUAAGUAGGGGACAAUACCCCCUAUGAUGACGGUACCGUUUGUAAGCUCCGGCUAACUCCGUGCCAGCAGCCGCGGUAAUACGGGGGGAGCAAGCGUUGUUCGGAUUUACUGGGCGUAAAGGGCGCGUAGGCGGCCAGCACAAGUCAGUUGUGAAAUCUCCGAGCUUAACUCGGAAAGGUCAACUGAUACUGUGCGGCUAGAGUGCAGAAGGGGCAACUGGAAUUCUUGGUGUAGCGGUGAAAUGCGUAGAUAUCAAGAGGAACACCUGCGGCGAAGGCGGGUUGCUGGGCUGACACUGACGCUGAGGCGCGAAAGCUAGGGGAGCGAACGGGAUUAGAUACCCCGGUAGUCCUAGCCUUAAACGAUGAAUGCUUGGUGUCUGGGGUUAUAAAGU